ACGCUCGACACCUACGGGGGGCAGCAGUCGGGAAUAUUGCGCAAUGGAGGGAACUCUGACGCAGUGACGCCGCGUAUAGGAAGAAGGUUUUCGGAUUGUAAACUAUUGUCGUUAGGGAAGAGAAAGGACAGUACCUAAGGAGGAAGCUCCGGCUAACUACGUGCCAACAGCCGCGGUAAUCUGAGCGGGCUGGCAAGGC
Molecule: ribosomal RNA, 199 nt
Filed under: uncultured bacterium
Lineage: Bacteria
Description: partial 16S ribosomal RNA
Rfam family: Bacterial small subunit ribosomal RNA
Source: RNAcentral